GACGAACGCUGGCGGCGUGCUUAACACAUGCAAGUCGAACGGAAAGGCCCUGCUUUUGUGGGGUGCUCGAGUGGCGAACGGGUGAGUAACACGUGAGUAACCUGCCCUUGACUGUGGGAUAAUUUAAGGAAACUGGGGCUAAUACCGGAUAGGAGCUCCUGAUGCAUGGUGGGGGUUGGAAAGUUUCGGCGGUUGGGGAUGGACUCGCGGCGGAUCAGCUUGUUGGUGGGGUAGUGGCUUACCAAGGCCUUGACGGGUAGCCGGCCUGAGAGGGUGACCGGCCACAUUGGGACUGAGAUACGACCCAGACUCCUACGGGAGGCAGCAGUGGGGAAUAUUGCACAAUGGGCGGAAGCCUGAUGCAGCAACGCCGCGUGCGGGAUGACGGCCUUCGGGUUGUAAACCGCUUUCGCCUGUGACGAAGCGUGAGUGACGGUAAUGGGUAAAUAAGCACCGGCUAACUACGUG
RNAcentral lists this ribosomal RNA (468 nucleotides) under uncultured bacterium. RNAcentral's name for it is "partial 16S ribosomal RNA". It matches the Rfam family "Bacterial small subunit ribosomal RNA", at positions 28 to 507 of the family's 1533-position model. The record is from RNAcentral.